UAUAAAAAGUCAAUGGGUUUACAAAAAUAACAUUGCAAUUAAAAUAUUUUAACUCAACACAGUAACUCUCUGCUCUCUUCACCACUUCAAAAACACAAACACCCCUUUACUGGUGCACACACCUAAUCUCAGCAUUUCAGAGGAAGAAUCAGGAGUAUUUUGAGUUCUAAACAAGUCCUGGCCACAUAGUAAGUUUGUGACCAGCCUGAGAGUAGGUCCUUUUUUCUGAAUAGUAACUGUGCAAUCAACAUCAAUAACAAAAUACCCACAAGUAAAAGGAAAUACAAAUGUUUGUCUAUUUUGCUUGUACAUAGUUUGUAAGUGUUUUGAAAGCAGUCUAUAGAGUCUAAGGAAAGAUGAAAAUGUCAGUAUGUGGUAUAACAGCUUCCUGUGAUACUGGAAUAUUCUAUUCUGCAGGUAAACUCUUUAAGGCAGAAGGUAAACAACUCAGAUUAGCUUCAGGAAGUCCCUGAAACUGAUAAGAUUCACUAGACCCCCUCUAUGAUCGAGUAAACAAUAAAAACUGAUUUCAGGGUUGCUGCAAAGAAGACUCUCAACCUAGUCAAGCUGCAAAGAAGACUUUGAGAGCAAGCCAACUGUCUGAAAGAAACAGAAACCAGCCAAGCUGCUUGUAAGAGGGUUAGAGCUACUGAGACAUCUGGAAAGGACCCUCUCCAGUUUGUUGAGCUGCCUGUAGGCUAUACAGUGUAGCCUGGGUUCCCAACUUUGUGCAUCAGUGCUACAAUGGGCUUUGUGAUGCUGCUAUCUUUGAGUUAUUUAUGCUCCUGUAAACAACUCUCAUCCAUAUUCCUCUGUAGAUGUGUGCUCUUAACACCCUGCUCCAGUGGGCAUACCUGCCACAUACUCCCACUCUGUCUCUGACAUUGUGGAUCUAACCCUUGUGCUCUGGUAAGCCAAAUAAAGUCUGCCUUCUCUAUAUUGCCUUGGUCAGGUUGGUGUGUUACACAACAACAGAAAAGUAACUUAUGCAACUAUUUUUGUUCCUGUUCUUUGAAAAGCAAUGUGAAAGUUAUUAUGAAAAUAUAGUCUAGAUAUGAGAAAGAAUUCACUGGUAGAGUUGUUUAUUAAAGAUUAAAAUAGAUUACUAAAAGACAUAGAGUCUUCUUUGUUAAUGACUUUUCCAAAGAAAAUGGACACAAAUCAAUUUUGUUUGGUCAAUAAGGGAUACUUGCAAUCAUAGAACAAGAAAUGCUAAAUUUGUGGGAUCUUCUUUCAAAAUCUCCCUGGAUAAUUUCCUCUACUAACAUAAGAGAUGUAGAAUUUUUUUCUAAAUAUUUUUAUCCAAAUAUGCAAACUAUGUGAAUGUAUUACUAUUCUACAGUAGUUUAAGUUGAUUUAUUCUUGUUAAUAUGCUUAUAUCUAAGUAGGUAACUUUUGUAGUACUUGACUAGAUGCCCAUGAAUUUGUGUGUACUUUGGAAAAUAAUGUGGUAUCCUUUUGGUGAAUAUAUUUGCAAGUUACUUGAAUAUAAUUAACUGUUCCUUUUGUUAUUCCCAUAAAGUAUUUUGUCAGAAGAUCUUGGUUAUUUCUCAGUUUUGUAGCCUUUAAUAAUAUACACUACGUCUUUUUUUCUAUAUGUUUCUUUAGUGAUUGAAUAAGAGGCUGUUUCAAACCCCCUGUUCUCACAAACUGUGGUGUGAAGACUGUCUUGACCGAUGUGCUUUGUUUUCUGCCCCUUUCUUGUCAGAGUGUGAUCAGGUAGUCAGACUGCUCUACAAAAUGGAAGUGAGCCAAUGACAAGAAGCCCUGUUUCCUUAUUCACAUUGACGGAUACUGAACUGAGUGGUUUCCCAUCAGCUGAGUAGAGGGUAAUAUUGAUUAAAAGAGUUACUCACUUU
Mesocricetus auratus (golden hamster) is the source of this 1859-nucleotide long non-coding RNA. RefSeq lists it as uncharacterized. The transcript is spliced from 2 exons. The record is from RefSeq and is a predicted model, not a curated record. NCBI's taxonomy places the organism in Eukaryota, Metazoa, Chordata, Mammalia, Rodentia, Cricetidae.